Molecule: ribosomal RNA, 139 nt
Filed under: Microsporidium sp. 1_SPb
Lineage: Eukaryota; Fungi; Microsporidia
Description: partial 16S ribosomal RNA
Rfam family: Microsporidia small subunit ribosomal RNA
Source: RNAcentral
GGNUUGGAAUUCACACCGCCCGUCGUUAUCUAAGAUGGAAGUGCGGAUGAAGGCGAUUAGGUCGCAAGAAUCCGUGCCGCUAGAUUGGAUACAAGUCGUAACAAGGUAGCAGUAGGUGAACCUGCCGCUGGAUCAAUAC